GGCACUUUGGCGGAGUGGUUAACGCGUAAGUUUCCGCCUUCGGGAGCGCAGGUUCGAAUCCUGCAGGUGUCG
RNAcentral lists this transfer RNA (72 nucleotides) under Cyphellophora europaea CBS 101466. RNAcentral's name for it is "tRNA-Gly (TCC) (tRNA-Gly-TCC-2-1)". It matches the Rfam family "tRNA". From Rfam's summary of the family: Transfer RNA (tRNA) molecules are approximately 80 nucleotides in length. Their secondary structure includes four short double-helical elements and three loops (D, anti-codon, and T loops). The record is from RNAcentral. Lineage: Eukaryota; Fungi; Ascomycota; Eurotiomycetes; Chaetothyriales; Cyphellophoraceae.